RNAcentral lists this long non-coding RNA (221 nucleotides) under Medicago truncatula (barrel medic). RNAcentral describes it as "long non-coding RNA (MTRU_LNC001497)". Lineage: Eukaryota; Viridiplantae; Streptophyta; Magnoliopsida; Fabales; Fabaceae. The record is from RNAcentral.
ACAAAUUAACAAAGAUAACACGAAAAAAUAAUCACAAAUGGAAACUGAAAACCGCGUUACGUUAAUGGUUCUCGUUAAUAUAAUUUGUAAGAAAAAAACUUAUGCUGAUUAAAUGGAUCAGUGCCAUCAGAGCCACGUGAAAUCAGAUGGUCUUUUAGUAUUUAUGAGAAUUGUUGUUGACACAUUGCAUAAGGUUGGGGCACACGAGUAAUUUACGUUUU